GAUGAACGCUAGCGGAGGCUUAACACAUGCAAGUCGAGGGGUAAAUGGUAGCAAUACUAUGAGACCGGCGGACGGGUGCGUAACGCGUAUGCAACAUACCUUGUGCAGGGGGAUAGCCCGUGGAAACGCGGAUUAAUAUUCCAUAGUCCAGCUAUAUCGCAUGGUAUAGUUGGUAAAGAUUUAUCGGCACAAGUUUGGCAUGCGUCUGAUUAGCUUGUUGGUAGGGUAACGGCCUACCAAGGCUACGAUCAGUAGGGGUUCUGAGAGGAUUAACCCCCACACUGGUACUGAGACACGGACCAGACUCCUACGGGAGGCAGCAGUGAGGAAUAUUGGUCAAUGGGCGGAAGCCUGAACCAGCCAUCCCGCGUGAAGGAAGACAGCCUUACGGGUUGUAAACUUCUUUUCUGUCAGAAGAAUAAGCUUGUCGAGACGAGUGAUGCCGGUAUGACAGGAAUAAGCAUCGGCUAACUCCGUG
RNAcentral lists this ribosomal RNA (478 nucleotides) under uncultured bacterium. Its description in RNAcentral is "bacterial SSU rRNA". It matches the Rfam family "Bacterial small subunit ribosomal RNA", at positions 28 to 507 of the family's 1533-position model. The record is from RNAcentral.